Amblyraja radiata (thorny skate) is the source of this 589-nucleotide long non-coding RNA. RefSeq lists it as uncharacterized. The transcript is spliced from 3 exons. The record is from RefSeq and is a predicted model, not a curated record. NCBI's taxonomy places the organism in Eukaryota, Metazoa, Chordata, Chondrichthyes, Rajiformes, Rajidae.
UUGCGCUGGGUUUGGUUGAGCCGCGGAUGACAGCAAGUUAGGUUGCGCAGCUGUUGGAGGCGGGGUUUGGUUGACCGAUGGGCGGCAGCAAGUUAGGUUGCGCUGGGUUUGGUUGACCGGUGGGCGACAGCAAGUUAGGUUGCGCGGCUGUUGGAGGCAGCAGGUUAGGUUGCGCUGGGUUUGGUUGACCCGCGGGCAACAGCAAGUUAGGUUGCGUGGCUGUUGGAGGCGGGGUUUGGUUGACCCGCGGGCGAUAGCAAGUUAGGUUGCGCUGGGUUUGGUUGACCCGCGGGCAACAGCAAGUUGCGUUGCGCUGGGUUUGGUUGACCCGCGGGCGACAGCAAGUUAGGUUGCGCUAUGUUUGGUUGACCCGCGGGCGACAGCAAGUUAGGUUGCGCUGGGUUUGGUUGACCCGCGGGCAACAGCAAGUUAGGUUGUGCUGGGUUUGGUUGACGGGGCAGGCGGCAGCAAGUUGCGUUGCGCGGCCGUUGGAGGCGGGGUUUGGUUGACCUGCGGGCGGCAGCAAGUUGCGUUGCGCGGCCAUUGGCGGCGGGGUUUGGUUGACCCGCGGGCGGCAGCAAGUUGCGUU